CCUGAAAUAGUUUAAAAUAAAACGUAAAAUUGCAAAUUUUUAGAUGGGACUUAGCCACCUUUCAGGU
RNAcentral lists this transfer RNA (67 nucleotides) under Cerion coloni. RNAcentral describes it as "tRNA-Cys". It matches the Rfam family "tRNA". Rfam says of the family: Transfer RNA (tRNA) molecules are approximately 80 nucleotides in length. Their secondary structure includes four short double-helical elements and three loops (D, anti-codon, and T loops). Lineage: Eukaryota; Metazoa; Mollusca; Gastropoda; Stylommatophora; Cerionidae. The record is from RNAcentral.